Non-coding RNA from Pecten maximus, 72 nucleotides. NCBI's taxonomy places the organism in Eukaryota, Metazoa, Mollusca, Bivalvia, Pectinida, Pectinidae. The record is from the annotation of a RefSeq genome assembly.
GACCAGGUAGCACAAUUGGUAGAGCAUCUGGCUGGUGUUCAGAGGUCCCGGGUUCGAACCCCGGUCUGGUCG